UCAAACGAAUUAAAUCAGAGGUCU
RNAcentral lists this microRNA (24 nucleotides) under Bombyx mori (domestic silkworm). RNAcentral's name for it is "bmo-miR-3421". The record is from miRBase by way of RNAcentral. Lineage: Eukaryota; Metazoa; Arthropoda; Insecta; Lepidoptera; Bombycidae.